CAGCCAAUUUAAACCAUUUUUUUUGUUUUUUAAUAGAGAUGGAGUGUUUUUAUUGACCUGCUGAUAUCAAAUCAUCCUUGCAUCCAGGGGUUGCAUGGUCACUUGAUCAUGGUGAAUGAUCUUUUUAUUGGGCUGCUGGAUUUGGCUUGCUAAUGUUUUAUUGAGUAUUUUGCAUCUGUCUUCAUCAGGGAGAUUGGCUGAGAGCUUUGGUUGUUGUGUCUUUGUCUGGUUUUGGUAUCAGGGUAAUCUUGGCCUCAUAGAAUGAGUUUGGAAGAAUUCCUUCCUCUUCCAUUUUCUGGAAGAGGUUGAGAAGAAUUAGUAUCGGUUCUUCUUUACAGGUUUGGUAGAAUUCUGCUGUUAAGCCAUUGGGUCCUGGGCCUUUCU
RNAcentral lists this long non-coding RNA (384 nucleotides) under Pan troglodytes (chimpanzee). Its description in RNAcentral is "long non-coding RNA NONPTRT001795". The record is from RNAcentral. Lineage: Eukaryota; Metazoa; Chordata; Mammalia; Primates; Hominidae.